RNAcentral lists this ribosomal RNA (437 nucleotides) under uncultured bacterium. RNAcentral describes it as "bacterial SSU rRNA". It matches the Rfam family "Bacterial small subunit ribosomal RNA", at positions 890 to 1346 of the family's 1533-position model. The record is from RNAcentral.
AAGACUAAAACUCAAAGGAAUAGACGGGGACCCGCACAAGUAGUGGAUCAUGUGGUUUAAUUCGACGAUAAGCGAUAACCUUACCUGGGUUUGACAUAUAGCUGCACGCUCUAGAGAUAGAGAAGCCUUAGAGGGUGCUAUACAGGUGUUGCAUGGUUGCCGUCAGCUCGUGCCGUGAGGUGUACCCUUCAGUGGGGUAACGAGCGCAACCCACGUCUAGUGUUACACUUUCACUAGAGACUGCCUGCGCAAGCAGGAGGAAGGUGUGGAUGACGUCAAAUCAGCAUGACCCUUACAUCCAGGGCUACACACAUGAUACAAUGGCCAACACAACGGGUAGCCAAGCCGCAAGGUGGAGCCAAUCCCUUAAAGUUGGUCUCAGCUCGGAUCGGAGGCUGCAACUCGCCUCCGUGAAGUCGGAAUUACUAGUAAUCGCG